CUGACUCAGGAUGAACGCUAGCGGCAGGCUUAACACAUGCAAGUCGAGGGGCAUCGGGAGUAGCAAUACUUGCCGGCGACCGGCGCAAGGGUGCGUAACGCGUGAGCAACAUGCCCGUAUCAGGGGGGAUAAUCCAUGGAAACGUGGUCUAAUACCCCAUAGUAAUUAUGUAAGGCAUCUUAUAUAAUUUAAAGCUUUGGUGGAUACGGAUUGGCUCACGUGACAUUAGCUGGAUGGUAAGGUAACGGCUUACCAUGGCUACGAUGUCUAGGGGUUCUGAGAGGAAGGUCCCCCCACACUGGAACUGAGACACGGUCCAGACUCCUACGGGAGGCAGCAGUGAGGAAUAUUGGACAAUGGAUGGAAAUCUGAUCCAGCCAUGCCGCGUGCAGGAAAGACGGCCCUAUGGGUUGUAAACUGCUUUUGUAUGGGAGCAAUAAGGGCUACGUGUAGUCCGAUGAGAGUACCAUACGAAUAAGCACCGGCUAACUCCGUGCCAGCAGCCGC
This 507-nucleotide ribosomal RNA is filed under the name uncultured bacterium. Its description in RNAcentral is "bacterial SSU rRNA". It matches the Rfam family "Bacterial small subunit ribosomal RNA", at positions 19 to 518 of the family's 1533-position model. The record is from RNAcentral.